CCCUUAGACGUUCUGGGCCGCACGCGCGCUACACUGACGAAGGCAACGAGCUUUCCUUUACCGAAAGGUACGGGUAAUCUUUUGAAACUUCGUCGUGCUGGGGAUAGAUCCUUGCAAUUUUUGAUCUUAAACGAGGAAUUCCUAGUAAGCGCAAGUCAUCAACUUGCGUUGAUUACGUCCCUGCCCUUUGUACACACCGCCCGUCGCUACUACCGAUUGAAUGGUUUAGUGAGGCCUUCGGAUCCGCGACUCGUUUUGUGGAGAAGUUGGACAAACUCAGUCAUUGAGAGGAAGUAAAAGGCGUAACA
RNAcentral lists this ribosomal RNA (308 nucleotides) under uncultured eukaryote. Its description in RNAcentral is "partial 18S ribosomal RNA". It matches the Rfam family "Eukaryotic small subunit ribosomal RNA", at positions 1470 to 1796 of the family's 1831-position model. The record is from RNAcentral.